This 271-nucleotide ribosomal RNA is filed under the name Staphylococcus aureus. RNAcentral describes it as "partial 23S ribosomal RNA". It matches the Rfam family "Bacterial large subunit ribosomal RNA", at positions 1926 to 2196 of the family's 2925-position model. Lineage: Bacteria; Bacillati; Bacillota; Bacilli; Caryophanales; Staphylococcaceae. The record is from RNAcentral.
AACGGCGGCCGUAACUAUAACGGUCCUAAGGUAGCGAAAUUCCUUGUCGGGUAAGUUCCGACCCGCACGAAAGGCGUAACGAUUUGGGCACUGUCUCAACGAGAGACUCGGUGAAAUCAUAGUACCUGUGAAGAUGCAGGUUACCCGCGACAGGACGGAAAGACCCCGUGGAGCUUUACUGUAGCCUGAUAUUGAAAUUCGGCACAGCUUGUACAGGAUAGGUAGGAGCCUUUGAAACGUGAGCGCUAGCUUACGUGGAGGCGCUGGUGGG